Mycena filopes is the source of this 92-nucleotide non-coding RNA. The record is from the annotation of a GenBank genome assembly. NCBI's taxonomy places the organism in Eukaryota, Fungi, Basidiomycota, Agaricomycetes, Agaricales, Mycenaceae.
GACCCAGUGGCGAAAACUAUCGUGCCCGCACGGAUCGGGAGGGAUAUUGAUGGUAUUUGCGGGAGUUCCCUGUUCGACCCAGGGCUGGGUCG